AAACUUUUCCAUCCAUGAAAUCUGCAUGUAAAUCAAAGGUAAAUUGCUUAUCAGGUCUAAUAGGAAAACAGAAACCAAAACAAAAAUAUCCAAGAAGUAAUAUGGGGAUCCAAUGCUUAAACCAAGAAGCAAUAGAAAAAUUUCAGUCAUCUAAGGAAUUGUCAAUAGAUUUUAAUUUCUAACUUACACGUACUGCAAAUUUCGAAAAAAAAAA
This 214-nucleotide unclassified non-coding RNA is filed under the name Hevea brasiliensis (rubber tree). The record is from RNAcentral. Lineage: Eukaryota; Viridiplantae; Streptophyta; Magnoliopsida; Malpighiales; Euphorbiaceae.